This 460-nucleotide ribosomal RNA is filed under the name uncultured bacterium. RNAcentral describes it as "partial 16S ribosomal RNA". It matches the Rfam family "Bacterial small subunit ribosomal RNA", at positions 338 to 795 of the family's 1533-position model. The record is from RNAcentral.
CCUACGGGUGGCAGCAGUGAGGAAUAUUGGUCAAUGGACGAGAGUCUGAACCAGCCAAGUAGCGUGCAGGAUGACUGCCCUAUGGGUUGUAAACUUCUUUUAUAUGGGAAUAAACUGUUCCACGUGUGGGAUUUUGUAUGUACCAUAUGAAUAAGGAUCGGCUAACUCCGUGCCAGCAGCCGCGGUAAUACGGAGGAUCCGAGCGUUAUCCGGAUUUAUUGGGUUUAAAGGGAGCGUAGGUGGAUUGUUAAGUCAGUUGUGAAAGUUUGCGGCUCAACCGUAAAAUUGCAGUUGAAACUGGCAGUCUUGAGUACAGUAGAGGUGGGCGGAAUUCGUGGUGUAGCGGUGAAAUGCUUAGAGAUCACGCAGAACUCCGAUUGCGAAGGCAGUUCACUGGACUGCAACUGACACUGAGGCUCGAAAGUGUGGGUAUCAAACAGGAUUAGAUACCCGAGUAGUC